RNAcentral lists this ribosomal RNA (117 nucleotides) under Helicobacter didelphidarum. Lineage: Bacteria; Pseudomonadati; Campylobacterota; Epsilonproteobacteria; Campylobacterales; Helicobacteraceae. The record is from RNAcentral.
UCUUGUGUUUAUGUGAUGGGAGGAAACACCUAGCUCCAUUCCGAACCUAGCAGUUAAGCUUCCAUCAGCCGAUGAUACUGCACUUUGCAAGUGUGGGAAUGUAGGUCGAUGCAAGGA